CCUACGGGUGGCAGCAGUGAGGAAUAUUGGUCAAUGGACGCAAGUCUGAACCAGCCAUGCCGCGUGCAGGAAGAAGGCUCUAUGAUUUGUAAACUUCUUUUGUAGGGGGGUAAACGUAGACACGUGUAUCUGUUUGAAUGUACCCUACGAAUAAGCAUCGGCUAACUCCGUGCCAGCAGCCGCGGUAAUACGGAGGAUGCAAGCGUUAUCCGGAUUUAUUGGGGUUAAAGGGUACGUAGGGGGUGUGAUAAGUCAGCGGUGAAAUCGUGUGGCUCAACCAGGAAAGUGCCGUUGAGACUGGAAGGCUAGAGAGUGGUUGAGGUAGGCGGAAUGCGUGGUGUAGCGGUGAAAUGCAUAGAUAUCAUGCAGAACACCGAUUGCGAAGGCAGCUUACUAAGCUACAACUGACGUUGAGGCACGAAAGCGUGGGGAGCAAACAGGAUUAGAUACCCGAGUAGUC
RNAcentral lists this ribosomal RNA (460 nucleotides) under uncultured bacterium. Its description in RNAcentral is "partial 16S ribosomal RNA". It matches the Rfam family "Bacterial small subunit ribosomal RNA", at positions 338 to 795 of the family's 1533-position model. The record is from RNAcentral.